This 469-nucleotide ribosomal RNA is filed under the name uncultured bacterium. RNAcentral's name for it is "partial 16S ribosomal RNA". It matches the Rfam family "Bacterial small subunit ribosomal RNA", at positions 28 to 507 of the family's 1533-position model. The record is from RNAcentral.
GAUGAACGCUGGCGGCGUGCUUAACACAUGCAAGUCGAACGGUGAAGCUCCAGCUUGCUGGAGUGGAUCAGUGGCGAACGGGUGAGUAACACGUGAGCAACCUGCCCCUGACUCUGGGAUAACAGCCGGAAACGGCUGCUAAUACCGGAUAUGCACCAUGAACGCAUGUUCUGUGGUGGGAAAGAUUUUUCGGUUGGGGAUGGGCUCGCGGCCUAUCAGCUUGUUGGUGAGGUAAUGGCUCACCAAGGCGUCGACGGGUAGCCGGCCUGAGAGGGUGACCGGCCACACUGGGACUGAGACACGGCCCAGACUCCUACGGGAGGCAGCAGUGGGGAAUAUUGCACAAUGGGCGAAAGCCUGAUGCAGCAACGCCGCGUGAGGGAUGACGGCCUUCGGGUUGUAAACCUCUUUUAGCAGGGAAGAAGCGAGAGUGACGGUACCCGCAGAAAAAGCGCCGGCUAACUACGUG